RNAcentral lists this ribosomal RNA (407 nucleotides) under uncultured Corynebacterium sp. RNAcentral's name for it is "bacterial SSU rRNA". It matches the Rfam family "Bacterial small subunit ribosomal RNA", at positions 76 to 497 of the family's 1533-position model. Lineage: Bacteria; Bacillati; Actinomycetota; Actinomycetes; Mycobacteriales; Corynebacteriaceae. The record is from RNAcentral.
CUGCUUGCAGGGUACUCGAGUGGCGAACGGGUGAGUAACACGUGGGUGAUCUGCCCUGCACUUCGGGAUAAGCUUGGGAAACUGGGUCUAAUACCGGAUAGGAGCCAUCUUUAGUGUGGUGGUUGGAAAGUUUUUUCGGUGUAGGAUGAGCUCGCGGCCUAUCAGCUUGUUGGUGGGGUAAUGGCCUACCAAGGCGGCGACGGGUAGCCGGCCUGAGAGGGUGUACGGCCACAUUGGGACUGAGAUACGGCCCAGACUCCUACGGGAGGCAGCAGUGGGGAAUAUUGCACAAUGGGCGCAAGCCUGAUGCAGCGACGCCGCGUGGGGGAUGAAGGCCUUCGGGUUGUAAACUCCUUUCGCUAGGGACGAAGCUUUUUUGUGACGGUACCUAGAUAAGAAGCACCGGC